This 375-nucleotide ribosomal RNA is filed under the name uncultured organism. RNAcentral's name for it is "bacterial SSU rRNA". It matches the Rfam family "Archaeal small subunit ribosomal RNA", at positions 476 to 851 of the family's 1478-position model. The record is from RNAcentral.
CCAGCACCCCGAGUGGUCGGGACGAUUAUUGGGCCUAAAGCAUCCGUAGCUUGUUCUGCAAGUCCUCCGUUAAAUCCACCUGCUCAACAGAUGGGCUGCGGGGGAUACUACAGGGCUAGGAGGCGGGAGAGGCAAACGGUACUCAGUGGGUAGGGGUAAAAUCCUCUGAUCCACUGAAGACCACCAGUGGCGAAGGCGGUUUGCCAGAACGCGCUCGACGGUGAGGGAUGAAAGCUGGGGGAGCAAACCGGAUUAGAUACCCGGGUAGUCCCAGCUGUAAACGAUGCAGACUCGGUGAUGGGUUGGCUUUGAGCCAACCCAGUGCCGCAGGGAAGCCGUUAAGUCUGCCGCCUGGGGAGUACGGUCGCAAGACUG